Molecule: ribosomal RNA, 449 nt
Filed under: uncultured bacterium
Lineage: Bacteria
Description: partial 16S ribosomal RNA
Rfam family: Bacterial small subunit ribosomal RNA
Source: RNAcentral
AACGAACGCUGGCGGCAGGCUGAACACAUGCAAGUCGAACGAGAUCUCCGGAUCUAGUGGCAGACGGGUGAGGAACACGUGGGAACAUCCCUUUCAGUUCGGAAUAACGUUGGGAAACUAACGCUAAUACCGGAUACGUCCUUCGGGAGAAAGAUUUAUCGCUGAAAGAUUGGCCCGCGUCUGAUUAGCUAGUUGGUGAGGUAAUGGCUCACCAAGGCUACGAUCAGUAGCUGAUCUGAGAGGAUGAUCAGCCACAUUGGGACUGAGACACGGCCCAAACUCCUACGGGAGGCAGCAGUGGGGAAUAUUGGACAAUGGGCGCAAGCCUGAUCCAGCCAUGCCGCGUGAGUGGUGAAGGCCUUCGGGUUGUAAAGCUCUUUUAUCCGGGAAGAUAAUGACUGUACCGGAAGAAUAAGCCCCGGCAAACUUCGUGCCAGCCGCCGCUGUAA